CUCAGUUCGGAUUGUAGUCUGCAACCCGACUACAUGAAGCUGGAAUCGCUAGUAAUCGCAGAUCAGAAUGCUGCGGUGAAUACGUUCCCGGGUCUUGUACACACCGCCCGUCACACCAUGGGAGUUGGAAAUGCCCGAAGCCAGUGACCCAACCGUAAGGAGGGAGCUGUCGAAGGUGGAGCCGAUGACUGGGGUGAAGUCGUAACAAGGUACC
RNAcentral lists this ribosomal RNA (214 nucleotides) under uncultured bacterium. RNAcentral's name for it is "partial 16S ribosomal RNA". It matches the Rfam family "Bacterial small subunit ribosomal RNA", at positions 1287 to 1500 of the family's 1533-position model. The record is from RNAcentral.